Molecule: RNA transcript, 2500 nt
Organism: Armigeres subalbatus
Lineage: Eukaryota; Metazoa; Arthropoda; Insecta; Diptera; Culicidae
Gene name: neuropeptide CCHamide-2 receptor-like
Exons: 7
Source: RefSeq, a predicted model, not a curated record
GCACAGGAAGGUGAGGUUUAUGAUAGACAAUUCUCGAGCAACGAGUUUUUCCCAUUAGUCCGUCAGAGUACUCUUCAAAGUUGGCAAAGAAAUUGGACACACAACGAACUUGGACGGUGGCUAUUUUCCAUAGUUCCAAAAGUUUCUGGGCGAGCGUGGUUCAGAGGUGAGGACUUAAGUCGAGGCUUCAUUCGCGUGAUGUCGAGACUUAUGUCUAAUCACUAUUCACUAAACGCACAUUUGUACAGAAUAAACCUUGUCGAUAGCAACUUAUGUAGGUGCGGAGCCGGUUAUGAUGACAUCGAUCACGUAGUUUGGUCCUGCUCGGAAAAUGACGCCUCCAGAGAGCAAUUAUUGGAUACCCUUGUGGCCCGAGGCGACAGUUCCAAUGAUGGAGCUGUGGCGGCUGGUGCCGAACGGAACGGAAUCGGUGACGGUGGACUUUCGACAGCUACUGGGUUUUCCGGUGGUGGCCUCAACCGUGGAGGAUAUUUUUGGCUCGAAUCGGAUUCAGAAGUCGGUUCGGAUGCAGGAAUCGACAGAAUUUCCUGCGAUUGGUGAUGUAUCCGUAGACCACGUGGACGAAUAUGAACCGUACGAAGAAAGGCUGGAGACGUACAUAGUGCCGGUGGUGUUCGCCAUCAUAUUCAUCGUGGGUAUACUGGGAAAUGGCACGCUGGUGAUCAUCUUUCUGCGUCACAGAGCCAUGCGGAACAUUCCGAAUACCUACAUAUUCUCGCUGGCGUUGGCGGACUUGCUGGUGAUUCUCGUGUGCGUUCCGCUGGCAUCGCUCAUCUAUACCCUGGAAUCGUGGCCCUGGGGUGUCACAUUGUGUCGCGUGACCGAGUGCUUCCGCGAAAUCAGCAUCGGCGUUUCGGUGUUCACUUUGACGGCGCUGGCAGCCGAUCGAUACUGUGCCAUCGUCAACCCACUGCGGAAGCUUCAGACUCGCCCAGUGACGGUUAUUGUGGCGGUGCUCAUCUGGCUGCUAGCGAUUGCUUUCGCAAUCCCCUCGGCAGCCAUCUCGGACGUGGUAGUGGUGGAAAUCCCCAACAAAACCAUCGAAUACUGCUCACCAUUCGGACAGCGAACCAACGAUUCCGUUGCUUACUCCAAAUACAAAACCGUGGUGAACUCGGUCAUUUACUACUUCCUUCCGCUGGCCAUUAUCGGAAUCCUGUACAUCCUGAUGGCGUACCGGUUGCACGUCAGCGCCCGAGACAUGCCGGGGGAAAAUGCCGGGCCCCAGAGCAGGUCCCAGGCUCGGGCACGGAGGCACGUGGCUCGAAUGGUGAUUACCUUCGUGGUGGUUUUUAUCAUUUGCUUCCUGCCGCACCACGUGUUCCAGCUGUGGUUCCACCUGAACCCCAACUCCGAGUACGAUUAUGACGACUUUUGGCACAUUCUGCGGAUAACCGGCUUCUGUUUGAGUUUCCUGAACUCGUGCCUCAACCCGGUGGCGCUGUACUGCGUUUCCGGUGUCUUUCGGCAGCACUUUCACCGGUACCUGUGCUGCCGGCAAAUGUCCGUCCAGCGGCGCAUCGGCAUGUCCUCGGUUGGGAACGCUUGCGAAACGAGCUUUGUGUCGACGAUCCGGCGCUCGCAGCACAACCACAGCAUCCGGAAGUCGCUGUCGGUCCACUCGGUCCAGAGCACGAAAAGGUGAGACAGCGUGCGGCUGAUGGUCUACUUCAAGGACGGUCACAACGGUUCGGGACCGGGAGCGGUCGGUAAGCGGGGCGCAACCGCGCGGAAGUAGCUUGGGGUGGUGGCGGGCGCAACGGAAACGGAGAAAUUGUGAUUUCAUGCACAUGAAAGGCAAUUGAUCGCUCAAACUAGGAGAAAUUUCAAUUCGCGUUUAUGUUAGCAGUGAGCACGCAUGUUAGCAAAAAGAAGCGACGAGAUUGGUGCUGUAUGUCUUGUACUAUGAGAUGAAUGUACAGUGAGAUGGAAAACGGAACAGUUUCUCUAUGUGGAUUUGAAAAUUUAAUAAAAUUUCUUGUUUCUCUUUGUAACCAAUGAUAUUAUUUUCGAAUGGCUUAAAUAUAAUUUUAAUCGUUUCGUCCCUCCACCGGAGUGGAUAAACCUUGUACAAAACCAGAGAAAAGUAAAAAAAAACUUUAACGUAAUUGAAGAUUGCGAAUCACGAAGUGUAAAAAAGACAGCGUUCAUUCAUAGGAAAAAAAAUCGAACAGUAUUUUCAUAUAAUAGAGCAAAAAAUUAAUUAUCUGUAUAGCGCUUAUGUGUAUUGAUAAUGUAUAUCAACAGAAGUUUAAAUAACAUUGUCAGAAUGAUAUUCAAAGUAAAAAUAAAAGCACUGUAUUUAAACGAAUUAUAUUUUUAUAAGAUAAGUAAAAUAAACUAAAUCAUAUAAAAUUGUUCUGUGAACGAAAUGUACAACUGUUGAGUGUGGGUUUAAUACUGAUAGAACGGAAAGAACUUCAAUAAUCAUGAUGCAAAUAUUUAUAGGGAAUGGUCAAUUAUAAAAUCUACACGUAGG